This 99-nucleotide transfer RNA is filed under the name Pyrobaculum aerophilum. RNAcentral describes it as "tRNA-Cys". It matches the Rfam family "tRNA". Rfam says of the family: Transfer RNA (tRNA) molecules are approximately 80 nucleotides in length. Their secondary structure includes four short double-helical elements and three loops (D, anti-codon, and T loops). The record is from RNAcentral. Lineage: Archaea; Thermoproteati; Thermoproteota; Thermoprotei; Thermoproteales; Thermoproteaceae.
GCCCCGGUAGCUCAGUCCGGCAGAGCGGCGGGCUGCAGACCCGUAGGUCCCGGGUUCAAAGGCGGCUUUGCCGCCGAAUCGAUCCCGGCCGGGGCUCCA